RNAcentral lists this ribosomal RNA (253 nucleotides) under uncultured bacterium. Its description in RNAcentral is "partial 16S ribosomal RNA". It matches the Rfam family "Bacterial small subunit ribosomal RNA", at positions 524 to 776 of the family's 1533-position model. The record is from RNAcentral.
UACAGAGGGUGCAAGCGUUAAUCGGAAUUACUGGGCGUAAAGGGUGCGUAGGUGGUUUGAUAAGUUAGGUGUGAAAGCCCCGGGCUUAACCUGGGAACGGCGCCUAAUACUGUCGAACUAGAGUACUGUAGAGGAAGGUGGAAUUUCCGGUGUAGCGGUGAAAUGCGUAGAUAUCGGAAGGAACAUCAGUGGCGAAGGCGACUUUCUGGACAGAUACUGACACUGAGGCACGAAAGCAUGGGGAGCAAACAGG